UCUGUAUUGUAGCGUCAUUUAAAUGGGAAUUUCUGAAUUUCCGGUGACAGAUGCAGCGUUUAACCAUGAAUGCAGUCUCCCGAGAACACGGGAACAGUGCCUUUAAUUCUCUGUUGCGCCGGAUCUUCCCAGAUGGGUUGACAAACCUUACCCACCUUAGGUUAUGUGUUCACUACUUGUCUUUUGUACAACUCUCAACGUCAAACAUACAAAGAGGUGUGUUUUGAAGUGUGAAUAGCCUGUGGCUGAAGGAUCUCACCCCUGAUUCACAGGGUUGUUGGUUCAAACCAAGACAGAGCCCAUGAGUGUGGUUGGGCUGAUAGUUGAAAGACAGAGCUCAUGAGUGUGGUUGGGCUGAUAGUUGAAAGACAGAGCCCAUGAGUGUGGUUGGGCUGAUAGUUGAAAGACAGAGCCCAUGGUUGUGGUUGGGCUGAUAGUUGAAAGACAGAGCCCAUGAGUGUGGUUGGGCUGAUAGUUGAAAGACAGAGCCCAUGAGUGUGGUUGGGCUGAUAGUUGAAAGACAGAGCUCAUGGGGGUGAAUACUUGGGGUCCCUCCUGUGAACAGCAGUGGUUAUAGAGAAUAUCCUCUAUUUAAAAACAGUUUUCUUCCAUAAACACAUCAGGUUACAGUUCAGGAACACAAGGAUGGAACCGCCCCCUUCCAGCCAACACCACUCAGACCCCUUCACACUCAGACCCCUUCUCACUCAGACCCCUUCACACUCAGACCCCUUCUCACUCAGACCCCUUCACACUCAGACCGCUUCUCACUCAGACCGCUUCUCACUCAGACCGCUUCACACUCAGACCCCUUCAUACUCAGACCCCUUCACACUCAGACCCCUUCUCACUCAGACCGCUUCUCACUCAGACCGCUUCUCACUCAGACCGCUUCUCACUCAGACCGCUUCUCACUCAGACCGCUUCUCACUCAGACCGCUUCUCACUCUGCCCCCCUUCACACUCAGACCGCUUCUCUCUCAGACCCCUUCUCACUCUGCCCCCUUCACACUCUGCCCCCUUCACACUCUGCCCCCUUCACACUCUGCCCCCUUCACACUCUGCCCCCUUCACACUCUGCUCCCUUCACACUCUGCCCCCUUCACACUCUGCUCCCUUCACACUCAGAUCUCUUUUCAUUGUGUUUUUGACAUUGAGAGUUGCAGAAAUCCACACUGAAGUGUAAGAGUUAAGGUUUGAACACAUCAUCUGUGGUGCAAGGCAGGAGUUCAACCCCAGAGCCACAGACUAACACUUUUGAGUGCUUCUCGUUGUAUAUUUGACAUUGAGAGAUGUAGAGUUGUAUGCAAAAGUACAAGAGCUAAGAUUUAAACUUUGAACCUCUGGGUUUCAGGGCAAUGGUUUAACCCCAGAGCCACAGAGUCCCCAGUGCCUGCAUAGCCCCAAGCUGGAGCUCUGGAUUAAUACUGUACCUCAAGGAAAAUGUUUGUGUUCAAGGCUUAUAUAAAGGUCUUUUAACUGAUUAUACAAUGUGGGGCCAGUUUUGGAGCCUGUAACUGUUGCACCCAGUGGCCAAGGGCUUUAUGUCCUACUAACACAACAGUGACUACAUGUACGUGUGUGUUUUACCUGGCAGAAGGUCAGUCAUUCCCAGUGCCAUUUCAGACCGUGGCAUCGGCAGAGCUGAGUUUAUCUACAGGAUAUGUUGUCAUCCUCUCCUGGAAAUUCCAGAAUGGAACAGAAUCACUGGAACAGGGAUGCAGUGUUAUAAAUUCUCCCACUGACAACAGAAAGAUCAUCGUAACCACAGGUGGAAUACACUUUUUGGGGGAACCAUUCAAAAAAUAGGUGCUUUAAAAUGUUGGCUAUACUUAUGCAAAGUAUUGGAUUUACGCUUCUGCUUUGUGAUGCCUCCCAAACCUCUAGAAUAGAUAGAGAAUCCAAAAAGGAGCUGUAGGAAAUGCAAUUUAUUAGCAAUUUUUUAAUAACAUAAUUCCUCAGAUAAAAAUGCAAUGUUACAGGAAUAUACAUCAGAUUAAUUUAAAACUUGCUUUCAAGGACCGUACAGUCUAAAUAUAUUUUUCAUGUUUUAUUUACUCGUAGCGUGCGUUAUAAGCAAGACAGACUCUGUCACCAAAGACAGACUGACAUUAACAGAUACAAACUGUACAUCACUUAUAUACAAAUCAACUUUUUAUUUCGUUUUUUCAGUUAUUUUGAAAAUAGAAGUAGAAAAAGUGAUUGAAUAUUCAGAUUUUUAUUUAUUGUAUUCUUUCUCUUUAAAAAUUGGUUUAAAUGAAAGAAUGAAACAAGAAAUGAAAAAUAAAGUAAUAGAAUUGUUUAUCUUUUUAUAGAAAAUAAGAAUAGAGGGAAUGGGUGGAAAUGUCUGGUGAGACCAUGCAGACUUGUCAUUCAAAGGAGAAAAGGGGGUUUGGAUUUGGGCAAAUCCACUCAACAACUCCCCAAAAACUAGUCGAACCCCUCACAUGAAGUGAGUGACUGUCUCUGAGCAUGAGGAAAUUGAUACAAAACAAGAUGGCUGCCUCCAAAGCUACCAUAAUGCACAAUACACAUUCUAGUUCAUUUUAAUGACCAUAAAUAGUGCUGUUCUUCUUAAAAUACUACAUUUAACAGUAGUGCCACUACUAAUAUUACAAAAAAAUACUUUUGUUGUUUUUUGGGAAUGGUUCUUUCACAUAUAAACGCGAUAAAGACAGACGACUUUGCCAAAAAGUGGUCUAUACUUCCACCAGUCAGUCUUCUGAUUCUGUGCAUGAUUGACUAAAUCAUGAUUUGGGGUAUUACUGAAGUAUUUAAAUGUAUUACAGACUUGGUUAAACCUGAUGGGUACAACGUUCUACUACUGCCUUACCAAAGUGAGACGCGGACCAAUAAAACAACGUCUUUAACUCAACAUUAACCAACCCCUAACUAUUUAUGACUUUGAUAGUCACACAAACCCCUCUUCAUCACCAAUAGUCAACUACUGGUCCUCGGGGUUCUGUUAUCCAUACUAGGUAAACAAUAAUCUCUCUCCCACGUGGCUUUAGGAAGGUCAAAUCAAACCAGAAAAUCAACUUAUGUUGGAAAAGACGAACAACAAUCAAACCUCAAUAAAGUGAUCAUAUAAUAUGUCUGAAUCUUUUAUAUCAAAAUACUGUGUUUGCUCCAUGUGGAAUCUGGAACCGUACUGUGGAAUGCUACAGUAUAACGGUGCAAUAUUUAUCUUAACCUACCUGGAAGAAACAGAGGGAGAGAAACAUUCAUGAUUCAACCAACUGACACUUACUAACUGGACAGUAAGGCCUCUUGAAAACGAGCCAUAGUCUGCUUCUCAAAUAGGGCACUACUUUAGACCAGUGGCCUUCAGUGGUCAAAAGUAGUGCACUAUAAAGGGAAUGGGUGCUAUUUCAGACAGUCAUAUUCAUGCUCUCUUUUAAAUGGAGACAUAACUUCUUAGCUCUUUCCUCUCAACGCCUCUGUGUAUAUUCUUAGAAAAAAUUGUUCCACAAGGGGUUCUUCGGCUGUCCCCAUAGGAGAACUCUUUUUGGUUCCAUUUAGAACCCUCCAUAGAAAGGGUUCUACAUGGAACCCAAAAGGGUUCUCCUAUGGAGACAGCCGAAGAACCCUUUAAGGUUCUAGAUAGCGCCUUUUAUUGUGUAAGAGCAGUCAUUGUCAAACUAGAUAGUGGUUUAUGUGCAACAUAGUGAUCUCCUCUAGAAAUGUUGUCUCCAACAUGUCUGCAUAAUAUUGAUGAUUACAAUAAUGAGUAUUAAUAUACUAACAGUCUUUUAAGAAGAGGACUUUAAAAGAAAGGUGCUCCUGAUUUUGCUACUCUGGGGAGGUGUUUGUUGACGUCAACCUUUUGUAGGGUUGUUCUGGGUCAGUUAAGUCAUGUCUAUCAAGGUUCAUAUGGAAGUUAUAACCUAUGCAGCUCAAAGUGGAUGCUGUCAGUCAAAGUGGAGGUCAAAACAGCAUACUUCCAUUCCACUACUAGAGCAUGCCCUUUGACCUGUCCCGGUCUUCUACCCAUGCCACAUGGAUGGAUGGAUGGAUGGAUGGAUGCACAAGCAGCACACAACAUGUUUGUAAUAAAGGCUUGGCUUGCUAGCAUGAUGUGGGAUUGGGGAAACCUUACAUCUUUAAAUCGUGGGGAAGCAUUUUGUUCAAACGUAAAUCCUCAACAAGACAGUUAGUUUCCUCUCUGAUAACCACAGCCCAUACAUUGUGAGUUGUCUCAGCAGUAUGAGGUGUUUCUAUACUGGAGCUUCCUGUAUCAUCUUAAAGGUUUCAAUUCAGCCUAACUCGUUACUCCAGUUAGCUUCCUAUAACAUAUGCUAUCCCCAAUAUAAUGAAUUACUCUAGAUAUAUGUUUCAUUCAGGAUAUAUAAAAUAGUGUUUUUAAUUCAGAAACAUUUUUGUGUUUUCUUCCCCCAUUACAUAAUGUAUAAUGGUUGUACAACAAAACUGAAAAAGGGAAGAGAGAGGUUGUUUAAUUAGUAAACACUAACUAGAGCUUGACUUUACCUAGAAAAGGAAAAUAAAGUCUAUAUUUAAAAUAGUUCUUAAAAUAUUUAUGUCUCGAUCAAAAUGAUCAACAACAAUUAAUUUACAAGAAAAUAUAAGAUCCAUCUGUAAUACUGUGGUACAGAGUCACAUCUUAAUAAAGGAAUCUGUAGUACUGUGGUACAGAGUCACAUCUUAAUAAAGGAAUCUGUAAUACUGUGGUACAGAGUCACAUCUUAAUAAAGGAAUCUGUAAUACUGUGGUACAGAGUCACAUCUUAAUAAAGGAAUCUGUAGUACUGUGGUACAGAGUCACAUCUUAAUAAAGGAAUCUGUAAUACUGUGGUACAGAGUCACAUCUUAAUAAAGGAAUCUGUAGUACUGUGGUACAGAGUCACAUCUUAAUAAAGGAAUCUGUGAAAACUGUGACAAAUACAGCUGGUUACUGUUAACAUCACAACAAGAGGAUCAGCCAUUUCAACCAAGCCUGUUUAGAUUAGGAGAUGAGCUCUCUAGUACGUCUCUAUGGUCAUCUCUCAGUCGAGGAUAUGUGACAAGCCUGUUUAGAUAGAUGAGCUCUCUAGUACAUCUCUAUGGUCAUCUCUCAGUCGAGGAUACGUGACAAGACUGUUUAGAUAGAUGAGCUCUCUAGUACAUCUCUAUGGUCAUCUCUCAGUCGAGGAUACGUGACAAGCCUGUUUAGAUAGAUGAGCUCUCUAGUACGUCUCUAUGGUCAUCCCUCAGUCGAGGAUAUGUGACAAACUGACCUGAACAGCAGUCCAUGGUGAACUAUCAAUGUCUUUGGCCAGUGUCACCCAGAUACUGUCCCCCCAGCUAGUAAUCAUGUAGUGGCCCACUGGCGGUCCACAUCCAGCAUAGUUAGCAGUCCACAGCUGGUAAACCACUUGUCAGUGUCCGAACAUGUUCUUCAGAAAGUCCUUAACACUUUUCCUUCAGACAAAGUGACUGACUGACUGAUCCUAAAGGUUCUCUAAAAGAGAACAAAAUGAGCUCCAUAUUUAUGAUCUUUCAACAUCACUGAGGGAAACGGAGAAUAUUUUUUGGCAAAUUAGAUUUUUUGGUGAAAUGUCUAUAAAUAUCAUUGUAUUGUAUGUAUAGCUAUUUGUUAAUAUAAGCCUAUAUAACUAGUCAACAAGAGGAGGUCUUUCCAGUGCUACAAAUUGCACCUCAUCCACCUUGAUAAUUAAUUGAUAAUUAAAAGCCUCAACUUUCAUAUAAUCACCUAUGUUUCUAUGAGUAGCAGUACCUUUUCUGUCAACAACUUCCCCAGCAUGCCACAGCCACAACGCUACAGAGACAACAGCGAAGACAUCUCAGCCGGCCUGACAAGACAUCCAUGGCUUUCAACAAUUGCACUAUCAUCCGAGACGCGUAGCGGUGCCACACAAACACUGCAGCACAAGAGUUUAGCACACAGCACCCUGAAUGAACAUGGGGAAAUUCACAGGACACAAUCUAAAAACAGGACGACGUAGCUAAAUGUUUAGAGGGGACUCUAAACCAAACACACUCGAUGACAGCACUGACUGAAGCAGGGGUGCAAAUACAGCAACACAAAGGCUUUGGAAGAGAUACUGUAGGUAGAUUAUGUACAUUGGCCUAACCUCAGACCUUUAUAUGGAAAUUAUUACAUAUACUUAUGUCCUAAAUGGCACCAUAUUCCCUAUAUACUAUAUAGUACACUACAUUUUACCAGAGCCCUAUUCCCUAUAUAGUGCACUACAUUUGACCAGAGCCCUAUUGCCUAUAUAGUACACUACAUUUGACCAGAGCCCUAUUCCCUAUAUAGUGCACUACAUUUGACCAGAGCCCUAUUCCCUAUAUAGUACACUACAUUUGACCAGGGCCUAUAGCCUAAGCCUCCUUCAGAAAGCCCUUUUAAUGCUAAAAUACAAUCCAUUGUCUCAUCAUUGUCCCUUUAUCAAUAAAAGUCCCCGAAAAUGAUAUGACAUUGUUGUAGGAGUAAACGUACCUUACCCUUUGUUCAAUCAAAAUACAAACAAGGGGUCAAAGUCGGCUAAGGAGGACGUGCAGUUCAACAACGACGUCAUAUAGUUCUGUUGCAACACCACCUGGACAUUUCACUCAAUACAUUCUCAAAUAUCAAUCUUUCCUUUAUACCCUGACAUUCAGAGGAGUAAUAUAUGGUAUUUAUAAACGAAGCUAUGAUAAUAUAUAGUUUAUAAAAAAAUAUACAAUCGUGGACCAGUGAAAUGAUGUGUCAUUCCAUCAUGACCAGUGCUAUGCCUUUUGGACAAGUCCAUGCACGUUAUACAAUAAUACUUUGAUGUUUCCUCCUGUUAAUAAACUCUCUUCCAAAACUAUGUAUACCUUCAAUAAAUAUCCUUAUUCGUCAGAUGGAUUGUCAAUGUGAUAAAAUCAAAUUUGUCUACUGGGUUUAUCUUGUGGGGAAUACGCUCUCAAAGAGACCACAUGUAAAACUAUUUCACAUCAUGCAUGUAAAAACAAUAACGCAAUGAUGAUGUCAGACAGGCAACCGGUCUUAUAUUCAACAGCUCUUUUCCCCUCUGUCUUAUAGCAACUAUUUACCCUCACCAUCAGAUAAAGGAUGAACACAGUCACCUUGUCCCCCCCUAAAAAAUGUCCUCUGAAAUGAGGUUGGGGUCAGAGUUAAGGGCUGGGGAUAAAGGAUAGUUCCUAUUUGGUAUAGUCGUCAAAACCUUCUUUUCAUCAUACAUACAGUAAUCUGUGACAUGAAAUGGUUGCUCAGUUAUCAACAGAAUAAGACAGUAAGAAAGAGUGUUAUGCCCUGCUUCAGAUAAAGUACAGCCACUUUUCACCACUUGGAUAAACACAAGAUAUGCAAAAUCAGUUUUUAACAAAGCAUGUCCUCUCCUGUCGGUCUGUCCAACACAGUAGCUGCAAUAUGUAUUGACCCUAAGUUGAUAUUUACAAAACAAAUAUAUUGAAAAUAGCAACCCUUUUCUUUGUAGUUAUAAUACGGAACUUUGCCUGUUAAAAAAUCAACACAUUUCAAAACUUGGCACACUGAAAUGCUGAACUGAAAUCUCAUGCAAUAAUGUACAUCUAGUAGUUUUUCAAUUCAUGAACGUUUAUGACAACUAAUAAAAAGAGAAAAUAGAUGGAAAUCAAGAAUUAAAUACAUCUUAUUAUAUACUGAAAUGAACCUGAUUUCAAGUAUAACAGGUUUCUUCCUCAAUUUAAAAUAACGCUGUAACCCAACAAAACAAAAAAACAUAAAUAUAUUAUAUCUAUAAUACAAUUUGUUCUCUUUAUCACUUCUUUUGUACAACUGUAUUUUUAAAAAUGUUUUAUAAUUAAUAAUAUGAAUCUUCUUGUUUAAGUUAGUGCAUUGUUUUUGCAUAUCUUGUGGAAUGCAAGCACGCACCCACUCACUCCUUACUAUACCAACAUACUGUGUUAGCGUCCAACAAACAACAUAGAUGUCAUGACUGAUGUACCAACUCCUCACAGGGAUUGUACCAGCCUCUGGCAUUCUCUCACAAACUCACAGCCACAAACAAUGGGUCUCAGGCCUCCCAAUUCAAAAAUACUAUGAAGUACCCUUGAAGUACUCUUGAAGUACUGUAUGUAUAUGAAUAUAUGUAUGGCACAGUUUGUUGGGGAUAUAUAGAAACCAAAAUAAUCUAUACUGUAGAAAUAGGAUGGUGGGGGAAGGGGUGGGUGAGUGGAAGUCUCUACUUAAACGUUCACAAGCUUUGCAUUAUUUUGGAGUGGAGUGUCAUCGUUUCAAGUAAACAUUCAUCAGGCUAUAUGGCUAUAAGUGUGAGCCUUCAGAGAGGAGCUUAGUUACCCUGCAGCUAGCUAUACAACAUGGAUGGUAAAGUGGUAGGAUGGUAACAUGGUAGGAUGAUAAAGUGGUAGAAUGGUAACGUGGUAGGAUGGUAACUUGGUAGGAUGGUAAAGUGGUAAGAUGGUAAAGUGGUAGGAUAGUAAAGUGGUAGGAUGGUAACGUGGUAGGAUGGUAAAGUGGUAGGAUGGUAAAGUGGUAGGAUGGUAAAGUGGUAGGAUGGUAACUUGGUAGGAUGGUAACUUGGUAGGAUGGUAACGUGGUAGGAUGGUAAAGUGGUAAGAUGGUAAAGUGGCAGGAUGGUCACGUGGUAGGAUGGUAACUUGGUAGGAUGGUAACGUGGUAGGAUGGUAAAGUGGUAAGAUGGUAAAGUGGUAGGAUGGUAACGUGGUACGAUGGUAAAGUGGUAAGAUGGUAAAUUGGUAGGAUGGUAACGUGGUACGAUGGUAAAGUGGUAAGAUGGUAAAGUGGUAGGAUGGUAACGUGGUAGGAUGGUAAAGUGGUAGGAUAGUAACGUGGUAGGAUGGUAAAGUGGUAGGAUGUAAAGUGGUAGGAUGGUAACGUGGUAGGAUGGUAACUUGGUAGGAUGGUAACGUGGUAGAAUGGUAAAGUGGUAAGAUGGUAAAGUGGUAGGAUGGUAACGUGGUACGAUGGUAAAGUGGUAGGAUGGUAACUUGGUAGGAUGGUAACGUGGUAGGAUGGUAAAGUGGUAGGAUGGUAAUGUGGUAGGAUGGUAACUUGGUAGGAUGGUAACGUGGUAGGAUGGUAAAGUGGUAGGAUGGUAAUGUGGUAGGAUGGGAACUUGGUAGGAUGGUAAAGUGGUAGGAUGGUAAAAUGGUAAGAUGGUAAAGUGGUAGGAUGGUAACUUGGUAGGAUAGUAACGUGGUAGGAUGGUAAAGUGGUAGGAUGUAAAGUGGUAGAAUGGUAGAUUUGGAUUACUGUAACUAACAACAACUCUGGGAUAUAUAGGGAAUGGGAAAGACCGUCAUCAACAUUACAAUCUGUCCUGCAAGACUGAAAGCCCAAAGACCUCCUCAACCUUGAUGUUCAGACCCAUGAUAAAAAAAGGAUUUUGGACGGCGGAAAAAGCAUUGAAAAUCUAUAUUUUAUAAAUGUUUUAAGCUUGACACGUGUGCACUGUACAGACAACGUAGUGACAUCCUAGCCAGUCCUUACUGUACCACAGAGAUUCAUACUGUAUCAUCAGGACAGAUUUAUCACACUACAAUAUCAUUGAUACGGUGAACACUUUGAACAUCAUAUUUGCAUAAUUAGGUUGAUAAUAAUACACGAGUCAGUCUGAGUCAUGCUUACGGUCAGUCGCUCCACAAGGCAGAGACAUCCAACAGGAGAGGUACAAUCACAAUCCCACUAAUCAUGUAUGUCUCCCUGUAAAGUGUUUACUGGAAAAAGGAUCCUAACGCCAAUGUCCUGCUAUUACGUGGCAUUCCUUCUUUACGCACCGAAUAUUAUCUUUGUCUCUUUGUCUACGAGUACCGUCUGGCUGCAGUCUGUGAGUUAGGGUCAUUUAUUCCGUCUGUCGGCGAUGAUGUAAUGGACAGGAGCACAGAGCUUGUUCAGAUGCAUCUCAUUAGGCCUGGCAGGCCCAUAGAGUUGGAUAGAGGGCACAUUUGGCCAGUUUUAACAUAGAGAUGAGCUCUCUACUACAUAUCUAUGGGAGUGCCUAACAGGGUGAAAUAUAGUAAUCAUCAUGUCACAGCUCAGGUGUCGAAGGUCACAGAUCCCCUGUCUGAUUGGCUUAUCCUGUUCUGUUCUCUGAUUGGUCUAUCCCGUCCUGCCCUCUGAUAGGCUCCUUGAUGAGAUCUGAUGAAAACCUCUGUAGUUCAAUAUUCAGAACAACAAACAACCAUGAAAUAAUUAAAGCAGCGAUAGGAGUAAAAACACAGCUUUGGAAGCAUGCCUGUCAAAUGGUUUUCUGUUCAGGUGGUAGGGUGAUAGAUACAAGUGAAACAUGACACCAUACUUAGUUAAUGCUACCUUAAUUUAACCGUUUAGGUAUAGUGUUGCUUUUAAGAAACAGCGAUACAUAUUUCACCCCCUCACCUCCAAAUACAGCUUUCACCUCAGGGACAAAAUAAAUAAAUAAAUAAAUACAAUGUGUUUAAAAGAUGCAUACUAAUAGGUACACAUUUUACUACGUCCUGCCGCUGCACCCCACACACACAGGUUUCAAUACUUCUUAACUUCCUAAAAUCUCCUAAAAAAUAAAUCAAGCAAAAUCCACAGUUAGGGCCAGCACCCCGAUUUGGGCAAAAAUAAGGAUAAAUAACAUCAUGAAAAAUAACAAAUGAAGAAAUCAAGUCUGGCCAGUUUUGCACAAUACUGUUUGUGUGUGUGUGUAAAAUACAUGAAGUGGAUUGGAUUCUGAUCUGUGUGUUGUGGUGAUUAUAGCAACUUGGCACCAACACCUAGCCACUGUAUUGUCACAGACAAGAAAGGCCAUAUCUUACCUCAGCCCUGCCCAGUUUCUCCUCCUUUCCUACACUCAUCCCCCAAAACAUCCUACAGCGAGGAUAGCAGGAUGAACGGACCACUGAGGAGUUUAAAACUAUAACUGAUAAACGACUACAACCAAAACAAUGCAGAUUUAAUAACUGAACUGAGAGAGAGAGAGAGAGAGAGAGAGAGAGAGAGAGAGAGAGAGAGAGAGAGAGAGAACGGACGGAGGAUGGGAGGUUGAGGUAACCAUGGCAGCUAGGUGGCGCUGUCCCUGUUUAGGACGGCUGCAUGUGAUGAGGAAGUGGCGGCAUUAUGACAGAGAGGGAGGUGUGCGAGUGGUGGAGGGAGGAAAGAGGGAUGGAGGAGAGGAGAAGGGCGUAGGCUGUUGGUGGACAGUACGACAGCUGAGCAUGAUAAAGAUAAACACAUCCUGGAUGUUGGUGUCUCUCUGUGUCGCUCCCUGUCGUUGGCUCCUCCUUCAGAUCCUGGAUGUUGGUGUCUCUCUGUGUCGCUCCCUGUCGUUGGCUCCUCCUUCAGAUCCUGGAUGUUGGUGUCUCUCUGUGUCGCUCCCUGUCGUUGGCUCCUCCUUCAGAUCCUGGAUGUUGGUGUCUCUCUGUGUCGCUCCCCUGUCGUUGGCUCCUCCUUCAGAUCCUGGAUGUUGGUGUCUCUCUGUGUCGCUCCCUGUCGUUGGCUCCUCC
This 11438-nucleotide long non-coding RNA is filed under the name Salmo salar (Atlantic salmon). RNAcentral describes it as "lncRNA (ENSSSAG00000097222.1)". The record is from RNAcentral. Lineage: Eukaryota; Metazoa; Chordata; Actinopteri; Salmoniformes; Salmonidae.